CUCAAAAACUUCUCAACCCGUUGCUCUGUUUCAAGCCCCUUCCCGAGCUCCGGUGAUCUCUCCGAUGUCUUUAGCAUUGAGCAUCUGGAUCAAAGCUUCUCUCCUACUUCGUUGCACCUCUCCAUGUCUCAUCGUAUCUCUCCAGUUAUACUCUCUUCUCCCUCUUUCCUUCUCUAUUGUCUUCAAUUUCUUUGCUUCAGCCCCUCAUUCUUCUCAUUCAUCGACUUCGAAACGCGCAAGAAGAGUAUCUCUUCAUCGGCAUUGCCUUACAAGAGGACCCUGUCAAGUUGGUUGAAGAUUUCUGCACAAGAUGUUGCAGUCAAAGGCUCAGAUCAAUCAUCUUCUCAGGAUACUAAGAAACAAAGAUAUGAUACUUCAUCUUCUCAUAUGCGCUUCAUGGAGUUAGAGGGAUUGGAGAGUACACAACAGUUGCAAUUGCUUCAAUAGCUUUCAGCAAGGCAGUGCAUUUGUUGAUGGGAAUGUGGUUGGAGUGAUCAGCAGGUUGGUGGCCAUCUCAGCAAACCCCAAAGAAACUUCCACAAUGAAGACUUUCUAGUGAGUAUGGAAGUUCAACUUGUUCUUCUAUUUAUGUAUAGAUAUGUGCACCUAAAUUCAAAAAAUACACAUAUCCACAAAUGCUUUUCAUAUCCUCAAUAGAACCAGCCCAAUUGUUAUCCAUAUAUCCUAUCAUCUUGGAAUUAGUUGAGUUUCUAAACCAAAUUCCAAAAUCUUUAUUUCCUUUGAUGUAUCUGAGCUCUCUCUUUACAGUCUUGAAAUGUAACUCAUUAGGAUUCUACAUAAAUCUUGAUAACAAACUAGCUGCAAAUAUAAUGUUUGGUCCUGUUGCUGUUAAGUACAGUAAACAACCAAUCAGGCUUCUACAAACUCCACCAUCUAUCUUGCUUGCUCCAUCUUCCUUGCAUAAUUUUUCAUUUCGAACUGAAGAAGUAC
Molecule: long non-coding RNA, 951 nt
Organism: Dioscorea cayenensis subsp. rotundata (Guinea yam)
Lineage: Eukaryota; Viridiplantae; Streptophyta; Magnoliopsida; Dioscoreales; Dioscoreaceae
Exons: 4
Source: RefSeq, a predicted model, not a curated record